This 499-nucleotide long non-coding RNA is filed under the name Olea europaea (common olive). RNAcentral's name for it is "long non-coding RNA (OEUR_LNC002202)". The record is from RNAcentral. Lineage: Eukaryota; Viridiplantae; Streptophyta; Magnoliopsida; Lamiales; Oleaceae.
AAAAGUAAGAAAAGAUGAAGGAAAAGAAAAGAUGAAGGAAAACCAACCCAAAUCUGGUGAGCAGUUGUCUGUUGUUUUAGACAAUCAGCUUUCCAGUCAAGAGCCAGAAACUCGAAAACAUGCAUCGGAGAAGAACGAUCAGGUUAAUAAGCAUUUUUUUGCAGUAAUUUUGUAAAUAUUUGUUAAGUAUUGAUUCUCUUUUGCAUAGCAUUAUAGAUGCAAGAAACAUAAAGACGAGAGUAUGGUGACUUGUACACAGAAAGCAGUAAACUACUAAAUAACAACAAAUCUGACAAGGAAAAACGAAAAUUAUUUUCCACAAUUGAGAGGGAAAAAAAAUGCUAUAAUGAAAUUAAUACACUUCGAGAAGGAAUUUUUGAUUACCUGCUUAAGGUUACUUAUGAAUAAAUUGACAAUUCAGGCCAUGAGACAUGACAGACAUCAGCCAAGGCCAUCAGGAUCAAUGAACUUCACUGGACGGACCAAAUCCUGGCGCCCA